RNAcentral lists this ribosomal RNA (497 nucleotides) under uncultured bacterium. RNAcentral's name for it is "partial 16S ribosomal RNA". It matches the Rfam family "Bacterial small subunit ribosomal RNA", at positions 28 to 507 of the family's 1533-position model. The record is from RNAcentral.
GAUGAACGCUGGCGGCGUGCCUAAUACAUGCAAGUCGAGCGAACAGAUGAGGAGCUUGCUCCUCUGACGUUAGCGGCGGACGGGUGAGUAACACGUGGAUAACCUACCUAUAAGACUGGGAUAACUUCGGGAAACCGGAGCUAAUACCGGAUAAUAUAUUGAACCGCAUGGUUCAAUAGUGAAAGACGGUUUUGCUGUCACUUAUAGAUGGAUCCGCGCCGCAUUAGCUAGUUGGUAAGGUAACGGCUUACCAAGGCAACGAUGCGUAGCCGACCGGAGAGACUGAUAGGCCACCUGGGAACUGAGACAGGGUCAAGACUCCUACGGGACGCAGCAGUAGGGAACCUUCCGCAAUGGGCGAGAGCCUGACGGAGCAACGCCGCGUGAGUUAUGAAGGUCUUCGGAUCGUAAAACUCUGUUAUUAGGGAAGAACAAAUGUGUAAGUAACCAUGCACGUCUUGACGGUACCUAAUCAGAAAGCCACGGCUAACUACGUG